RNAcentral lists this ribosomal RNA (697 nucleotides) under uncultured bacterium. RNAcentral describes it as "bacterial SSU rRNA". It matches the Rfam family "Bacterial small subunit ribosomal RNA", at positions 111 to 823 of the family's 1533-position model. The record is from RNAcentral.
UAACGCGUGGGUAACCUGCCUCNUACAGGGGGAUAACAGUUGGAAACGACUGCUAAUACCGCAUAAGCGCACAGGGUCGCAUGACCUGGUGUGAAAAACUCCGGUGGUAUGAGAUGGACCCGCGUCUGAUUAGCCAGUUGGUGGGGUAACGGCCUACCAAAGCAACGAUCAGUAGCCGACCUGAGAGGGUGACCGGCCACAUUGGGACUGAGACACGGCCCAAACUCCUACGGGAGGCAGCAGUGGGGAAUAUUGCACAAUGGGGGAAACCCUGAUGCAGCGACGCCGCGUGAGCGAAGAAGUAUUUCGGUAUGUAAAGCUCUAUCAGNAGGGAAGAAGAAAUGACGGUACCUGACUAAGAAGCACCGGCUAAAUACGUGCCAGCAGCCGCGGUAAUACGUAUGGUGCAAGCGUUAUCCGGAUUUACUGGGUGUAAAGGGAGCGCAGGCGGUACGGCAAGUCUGAUGUGAAAGCCCGGGGCUCAACCCCGGUACUGCAUUGGAAACUGUCGGACUAGAGUGUCGGAGGGGUAAGUGGAAUUCCUAGUGUAGCGGUGAAAUGCGUAGAUAUUAGGAGGAACACCAGUGGCGAAGGCGGCUUACUGGACGAUUACUGACGCUGAGGCUCGAAAGCGUGGGGGAGCAAACAGGAUUAGAUACCCUGGUAGUCCACGCCGUAAACAAUGAAUACUAGGUGU